This is a long non-coding RNA of Phyllopteryx taeniolatus (common seadragon), 353 nucleotides long. RefSeq lists it as uncharacterized. The record is from RefSeq and is a predicted model, not a curated record. NCBI's taxonomy places the organism in Eukaryota, Metazoa, Chordata, Actinopteri, Syngnathiformes, Syngnathidae. The transcript has 3 exons.
CGAUGUACUCCUCGUAGGCGUCGCGGUACUCGGCUUGCUGCCUGUCGGUCAACUUGCAGAUGUUGUUGGACGAUUCUUGCGAGUUGAGGCUGGACAUGCUUGUGGUGCGGAGAGCUGUCAACUGACAAGACAAAGAAAAAGCCUGCUGAUACGUAGAGGAACACUUCUGACUUCCUCUGCUGUGCUCUUUUCUCGCUCUAUACCACAUGAAUGAGGCCGCUGCCAGAGCGAGGACUGACCGGCCACUGCGAGCUGCUGCUGAUGUGUCUCGGGGGCUCCUCCAGUCCAGCUCGGCUGAGCUCCUCAAAGCUCAGGUUGAGGCUGAAGGCCGCCCCUUCCCGCGGGGCCCCCAC